UUAAAUAUUUUCACUUAAAUAUUUCUUAUUAUUGACCAAAUUAAGAGGUUUAUAAAAUAUUUGAUAAACCAAUUUCAUAGGUAAUGUCAAAACUAAUAGCUAUAAAUAAUUAUAGAUGCUUGAUAAGGAAUAGAAACUUCAAAUUUCUUAAUUAGAGAUAGUAUUGCAUAAAUUGAAGACCAAUUAUGCAAAGUACAUUAAAAUUCUUAUUAUUUUGUGAGUUGCACAUUAUAAGCAAUAAGGCUCAUAAUUAUCCUCACCUUUCACACANNNNNNNNNNAAAAAAAAAAAAAAAAAAAAAAAAAGGAAGAAAACAACACCAUUUAUUGCAAUAGAAAUUACUUAAACAUAGAAAAUAAAUAUGCUUAUUUUUUCCUACCCGAGUAUUACCAUAACCACCAUCAUCUUGAGUGUUUCCUUUAUUAGUAUUAUCUUUAGCACCUCCGGCCUCCACCUUGAGUGUUUUCACCCUCGGUAUUCUCCAAUUUUAUAUCUUGGGUAUUUCCUCCUUGAGUGUUGCCCGAUCCUUCAUUUUGAGUAUUUCCGCCCUGGAUAUUAAUAUAUCCUAUAUCUUGAGGGUUUAUUCCCUGGGGGUUUCCCCGUCCUCCACCUCGAGGCUGAAAACAUUCUACAACUUGAAUAUUUCCUUCCUGGUUAUUAUUCUGUCCUCCCUGUUGAGUAUUUCCUUCCUGGAAGUUACUCAAUCGUUCUUUAGUGUUUCCUCCUUGGAUGUUACUACAUCCUCCACUUUGAGUGUUUCCUCCAUGAGUAGACAUUCUUUCACUAGAGAGACUUGAACUUUGCUAGAAUGUUUUUGUGAAAUAUUUUCGUGUCCGCAAACCAAAGGAUUGUGAGUACUUAUAUAUACACAUAGGAAAUGAACUGUGACUUAGAAUAUUCUUAUAUUAUUCAUUGCUGAUUACAUAUCAGAUGAAGAAGAGGCAUAGUUAAUUAUUUAAGAAAGACCAAGACCUUACCAAUGUUAAUAUUAAAAUUUAUUUUCUUUUAUGGAGGAAAUUGAAUAAUUAUCUCAAAGUCUUUUUUUAAAGGAAAAAAAAUUCUCAAAGUCUUCGUCUACUUAUUUUUAUUUAUUUAGAAAUCAUAUAUAUUUACAGGCUAAUGGCUCUCUCAUUGCCUCAGCCAUAUUGCUAUCCCACUUCUUAGAGUCAUAGGUAUAAACCUAACCUAAUCAUUCCAAAUUUGAUUUGAGAUAAUUUCCAGAAACAUGCAUUCACCACUCAAGCGUGGGACCCAUGCGCUUUUGUUUUCUUAAAAAGAAGGCUGUUUGUACGCUCUUUCUUCUCUUAUAGAUGGGAUAGGAUUUGCUUUUCCUAAUUUUUUCAGAUUAUUAUAUAAAUAUUGGUUACUUUAAAAUAAUCUUUCACAGCUAUAAUGAGAUGUUAUGAUCUUAAUUACGAAAAAAUGAGAUUUAAAUCCUAUAUUGAUGCCUUAAAAUUUAAAUUGACUCCUAAAUUUAUAAGAAAAUUACAUUAGAGCUUUAAUGCUAGUAAAAUUACAAUUUUUUUUAAUAUUUCCAUUUGUAAAGACGCAUCUAUUGAAUUAAUUUUACACAAAAUUUUAAUUAUUUGAAAAGAAAUGAUUAAUACACUCUCAAAUCCUAAAUGAACACUUAAAGCAGAAUAAGGUAAAAUGUCCAUUUGUUACUAUUAAGAUGGAACGGAAGGAGUAUUGUUUUUGUUUUUUUUAUUUCUGUCAAUAGUUUUAUAGGAUUGAGACUUUCUUUUUUGUUCGGUUAAAUAUACAUUAUGAGUAUAUUCAGAAAAUAUCUUCUGAAUGUAUACUUAUUUUGCCAACAGGCUAGUAAAUAAUUUGUAGAUUUAUGCUAAGUAGUAUCAAUUUAUGUCUAUAAUUAUGGGUCCCAUAUGAAAACUCAAACUUGUGCCCACUUCUCAUAAUUCGUUGCUGAUAUUUAAAUAACAUCAAACAAAUAAUAAAUAAUAAAAUAUAAUUGAAAUAAUAAUUCAAUAAAAACUCAAAAAAAUCUUGUAGAUUUUAAAAUCUCAAUCAAUCUACCAUUAAAAUAAAAUAUUAAUUAAUAAUUAAAUAAAAAAAUUUUAAUAAUCGAAAAAAGAGUGGUAUUUAAUGGUAGCUUUAAGGUCUGGUUAAGGGUAGGAAUGUAGAUUUGUUGAAGAAAGCAUUUAGGUUUUGAAGGACGUAAGCUUAGCCACAUAAAAAGCGCUGUUAAGCCUAAAGUAAAGGUGAAGCUACAAAAACACUUGCAACAUGGACCGCACAAAUCCGACAGUCUUGGUCUACAUUUUGUAGAUAAUUAUCAUUAAUGUCUGUAUAAAUAAAAUUAAUUAAUUUUCACUUUGCAAAGUCUUGGUCUACAUUUUGCAGAUAAUUAUCAUUAGUAUAGUCACAGAAAAUCAACUCUACUUUUAAUGAAAAGACUUGAUUAAGUUAACCUUUGCAGAAAAUAAAAAUGAGGUGAUGUUUGAAAAUAAUUUUGGACGGUGUGAUUAUCUUAUAAAAUUAUAAUUUAAUCAAUAAUAAAUUCUUGUAAAAUCAUCUCAAACUAAUAGAAAAAAAUUAGAAUUACUAUUAUUUUGGAUAAAGUUAGAAAAAAAGAAUUACUAUUAUUUUGGAUUUCUAAAUAGAAAAAAAUUAGUCAAAAACUGUCAAAUUUAUUACUCUAUCAAGAUAAAAUGGAGUUUCUAUCACAUCUUCCUUCUAAAUUUACUCUCUUUGCUUUCUAAAUAAAUUCCCUUGUAAAAUAAAUUUGUUUAGGCAAAAAAUUUUGCAAAAUUUGAGAGGUUUAUAUAUUUUUUUUAAUGGUUAAAUAUUUUUCACUUAAAUAUUUCUUAUUAUUGACCCUAAUUAACAUACAGGUUUAUAAAAUAUUUGAUAAACCAAUUUCAUAGGUAAUGUCAAAACUAAUAGCUAUAAAUAAUUAUAAAUACUUGAUAAGGAAUAGAAACUUCAAAUUUUUUAAUUAGAGAUAGCAUUGCAUAAAUUGAAGAGCAAUUAUGCAAAGUACAAUAAAAUUCUUAUUAUUUUGUGAGUCGCACAUUAUAAGCAAUAAGGCUCAUAAUUAUCCUCACCUUUCACACAUUAAAAAAAAAAAAAAAGGAACACCAUUCAUUCCAGUAGAAAUUACUUAAACAUAGAAAAUAAAUAUGCUUAUUUUUUCCUUCCCGAGUAUUACCAUAACCACCAUCAUUUUGAGUGUUUCCUUCAUAAGUAUUAUCUCUAACACCACCUGCCUCCACCUUGAGUGUUUCCUCCUUGGGUGUUUCCCCAUCCUCCACCUUGAGUAUUUCCUCCCUGAGUGUUACCCCAUCCUCCGCCUUGAGUAUUUCCGCCUUGGGUAUUACCAUAUCCUCCACCUUGAGUGUUUCCUCCUUGGGUGUUACCACAUCCUCCACCUUGAGUGUUUCCUCCCUGUGUGUUACCCCAGCCUCCUUGAGUGUUUCCUCCUUGAGUAGACAUUCUUUCACUAGAGAGAUUUGAACUUUGCUAGAAUGUUUUUGUGAAAUAUUUUCGUGACUGCAAACCAAAGGAUUGUGAAUCCUUAUAUAGACAUAUAGGAAAUAAACUGUGACUUGAAAUAUUAUUAAAUUAUUCAUUGCUGAUAAGAUAACUGAUGUAGAAGUUAUAGUUAAUUAUUUAAGAAAGACCAAGACCUUACCAAUGUUAAUAUUAAAAUUUAUUUUCUUUUAUGGAGGAAAUUGAAUAAUUAUCUCAAAUUCUUUUUCUAAAGGAAAAAAUUCUCAAAGUCUUCGUCUACUUAUUUUUUAUUUAUUUAUAGAUCAUAUAUAUUUAUAGGCUAAUGGCUCUCUCAUUGCCUCAGCCAUAUUGCUAUCCCACUUCUUAAAGUCAUAGGUAAUAAACCUAACCUAGUUUUUACAAAUUAGAUUUGAGACAAUUUCAGGAAACAUGCAUUCACAUUUGCUGUGGCGGGCCCACUCAAGCGUGGGACCCACGCGCUUUUGUUUAAAAAAAACAAAAAAGAGCGCGUUUUCUUCUCCUAUGAAUAGGAUAGAAUUUGCUUUUCCUAAUUUUUUCAGAUUAUUAUAUAAAUAUUGGUUACUUUAAAAUAAUCUUUCACAACUUUAAUGAGAUAUUAUGAUCUUAAUUACAAAAAAAAUGAGAUUUAAAUCCUAUAUUGAUGCCUUAAAAUUUAAAUUGACUACUAAAUUUAUAAGAAAAUUACAUUAGAGCUUUAAUGCUAGUAAAAUUACUUUUUUUUUUAAUAUUUCAAUUUGUAAAGCCGCAUCUAUUGAAUUAAUUUUACACAAAUUUUAAUUAUUUGAUAUAAAUUAUUCAACGAGAAUUUUCACAUUUUUUUAAUCAUUAAGUAUUUGGUAAGUAUAAUUUUUUAAUUUAAGUGCUUAAUAAAUGCAAUUUUAAUUAUAAGUUAAAAUGUUCGAUAGCUGUAAUUUUAGAAAUUUAAGAAUUAAUUAGGUCAAUAUAAAAGUUGGAACUUGCUACUAAACUUUCCUUCUAAUAUUAUGGAUUCGUUCAUAUUUAAAUUAUGUGAAUUUGUACAUAAAUAAAGGAAGAAGUGAUUCUUUAUUUUAUCAAUACGAAAUGGGAAAGGAACUAAUGAAUUUAUUUAUAUUAUUGCAAAUUUAAUAUUUAUCGUAUAUAAGGCAUGAUUGUUGUUUUUGGCGUUGAUUCUUGAAAAUAAUGAACAAUUAAUAUAUAUAUUCCAUUAAUUUGUAAUUCUAUUAAAACAACCUUUCACAAGCAUAAAUUUAAAAAAAAAAUUAAAAAAAAAAAAAAAAAAAAAAAACACCAUUGAUUGCAUCUAAUUGAAAUUGCUAAAACACUUAUGCAAGGCAACCGCAAAGUCUUGAUAUUGAUCUGAGAAGUGAUACAAUUUGACACAAAAUUCCUUCUUGGGCAUUGUCAUCUUGUAGAUUCUUACUUGGGGUAUCUCCUGCUUGAGUGAAUUGAGAAUUUCCGCCAUGAAUGAUUCCUCCCCGAAUAUUACCACUUCCGCCUUGUAUAUUUCCUCCUUGAAUAUUACCGCUACCUCCAAUUUGAGUGUUUCCUUCCUGGGAGGCCAUUGUUUCACUGAGAGAGAACUUGGAACUUUUGUUAGAAUGUUUUGUGUAAUAUUUUCGAGUCUUGGAAGUGAACUGUGACUAAUCAGAAAAUUGUGAAUCCUUAUAUACGCAUAUAGGAAAUGAAGUGUGAAUUGGAAUAUUGUUAUAUUAUUCUUGCCGAUUAGAUGACAGGUGUACAAGGUAUACUUAAUUAUAUUAGUUUAGUAAAUACUAAACAUGAUUAGGCAAAGUAAUUCCUUUGGUCGGUAGCCAUCAGCAAAAUAGGCCGAGUCAAUUAGGACAAAAAAACAAAAAAGUAGAGAAAGACGGAGAAAAUGUUUAAUGAAAAGACUUGAUUAAGUUAACUUUUGCAGAAAAUAAAAAUGAGGUGAUGUUUGAAAAUAAUGUUGGACGGUGUGAUUAUCUUAUAAAAUCUAAAGGGUAGUUUGUUUAGGGAAUAAAAGUAACUUGUUUAGAAAGAUUUUAAAAAAAAAAAAUCAAAUUUGACACUUUGAGUUCAUUUGGUUCCUAAAUUCUUUUAGAACGAUUAAAAAAACUAGAACCUUUUAAAUUGAUUUAGCGUUUAAACUUAUUUAGGAGAAUUAAUAAAUUUCUUAAUGGCCAUAUAAAAACAUUAAACGAUUUAUAUUUUGAAAGAGAUGGAUUAGUAAAUACUAAACAUGAUUAGGCAAAGUAAUUGCUUUAGUCGAGAGCCAUCGACAAAAUAGGCCGAGUCAAUUAGGACAAAAAAAAAGUAGAGGAAGACCGAGAAAAUGUUUAAUGAAAAGACUUGAUUAAAUUAACCUUUGCAGAAAAUAAAAAUGAGGUGAUGUUUGAAAAUAAUUUUGGACGGAGUGAUUAUCUUAUAAAAAUUAUAAUUUAAUCAAUAAUAAAUUCUUGUAAAAUCAUCUCAAACCAGCACUAACAGCAAACUAAUACUAUUUUAGUUUAGAACAGAUAUCUAGAGAAGGAUAAAGUUAGAAAAAAAGAAUUACUAUUAUUUUGGAUUUCUAAAUAGAAAAAAAUUAGUCAAAAACUGUCAAAUUUAUUACUCUAUCAAGAUAAAAUGGAGUUUCUAUCACAUCUUCCUUCUAAAUUUACUCUCUUUGCUUUCUAAAUAAAUUCCCUUGUCUUGACCUAUUACAGUUAUUUAUUAGUUAAACUUUUAUUUAUUAGUUAAACCUAAUUAAGAGUUUUAUAUAGUUAUUGUCGAAACUAACAGCAAUAAAUAAUUAUAAAUAAUCGAUGAGUAAUAGAAACUUGAAAUUUCUUCAUUAGAAAUAUUAUUUGCAUAAAUUGAAGAUCAAUUAUGCAAAAUACGCAUAGUACAUUAUGAGCAAUAAGACUCAUAAUUAACCUCACCUUUUACACAUAAAAGGAAAAAAAAAAUACCAUUUAUUCCAUCCAAUUGAAAUUACUUAAAUAAAACACCUUAAGUGUUUCCUCCCUUUAUUUCAAAAAAAAUAACAGGUUGAGCCUUUGCUUCCUGAGUAUUGCCACCACCUCCGCCUUGAGUGUUUCCUCCCUGAGUAUUGCCACCACCUCCGCCUUGAGUGUUUCCUCCCUGAGUAUUGCCACCACCUCCGCCUUGAGUGUUUCCUUACCACCUUGGGUAUUACCACCACCUCUACCUUGAGUGUUUCCUCCCUGAGUAUUACCCCUUCCUCCUUGAGUGUUUCCUCCUUGAGUCGACAUUGUUUCGUUCGGAGAGAUCUUGAAACUUGGUUAGAAUGUUUUGGUGAAAUAUGUUUUGUGUCUUGGAAGUGAAGCGUGAUUAACCAAAGAAUUGUGAAUCCUUUUAUAGGCAUAUAGGAAAUGAAAAUUGUUCUAUUAUUCCUUGCUGAUGAGAUGACAAGUAUAGAAGGUAUAGUUAAUUAUUUAAGAUAGACCAAGAACAUAGAAUGUCAACAUUAAAAUAUAAAUGAAAAGAAGUAGAUCGGGAAUUUGGGAAAUACAUAUUUAAUAUAAGUAAUCACUUUGGUCGGUAGCCGUUAAUAAAAUAGGCAGUCAAUGAAGACAAAAAACAAGAAGGAAAAAAAAAAAAAAAGACCGGGNNNNNNNNNNNNNNNNNNNNNNNNNNNNNNNNNNNNNNNNNNNNNNNNNNNNNNNNNNNNNNNNNNNNNNNNNNNNNNNNNNNNNNNNNNNNNNNNNNNNNNNNNNNNNNNNNNNNNNNNNNNNNNNNNNNNNNNNNNNNNNNNNNNNNNNNNNNNNNNNNNNNNNNNNNNNNNNNNNNNNNNNNNNNNNNNNNNNNNNNNNNNNNNNNNNNNNNNNNNNAUAUAUAUAUAUAUAUUGUUGGUUCAAGUGUCAAUUUUAUCUUGAGAUUUUGAUGAUUAUACAAAACAAAAUUUUACACAAAAUUUUAAUUAUUUGAUAUAAAUUAUUUGAUAGGUGUUAUUUUUAUAGUAUUUUUAAUAUAGUUUUUAUUAGGAAUUUUAGUAGUUUUAAUUACUUUAAUUAGUUUUAUUUAUGUUUUUGCGUAAAACGUCCUUGAAUCAUAAUCCACUUGAUCUUAAAGAAAUUUGUAGGGUAUUGGCACAGAAAAGAGUAAAAUAAAGCAAAACACUCAGGCUCUAGCACGCCCUGCCUAUGCACAUUAGCACACCCGUGCCUAAGAGGACCUCAGGGCGUGCUUGCAUAAGCACGCCCGUGAUGCAUUUCAUCCUGGAGACUCAGAGCCUAGCACGCCCUAACCGUGCUAUGGGGCAUGCCCAUUCCACAGAUUCUUCUCUGGACGUGUCGCUGAGCACGGCCCGUGCUGAACCAUCCUUGGAACUCAGACUCUGGCACGCCUAGCCCGUGCAAAACAGCACGCCCGUGUUACGAAUUAGGUGCUGUCUUGAAUCAAGAACGCCAGCUAGUUUCUAUAACUUACAUGGGCCACCUCAGAUAUUUUCCUGACGUACAAAUCAAGAUCUAUUUCUAAUCCUAUUUAGGCGCAUGUGAGAGUCCUAAUUGAGAAGAAAUUCAAAGCCUAAACAGUUUCCUAUUUUCAAAAGAUUUCUUACUUAAUUGAAGACUCUAUUUCCUAAACGAAGUCGGAUUUUUUCCCAGGAAGUCUAUAUAAAGAGAAGGGUCAUUCAUUGUAUAUUCCAUCUUUUUGUUCUAUUGUUUUCUCUCUCUCUCCAAGACUUCAAGCAUUCAAGAUUUGUGUUAAGAUUCAUGGAAGCCGUCCGCAUUAUUUGUUGACUAGUUUUUAUCUCUAAACUCUUAAUCUUGGUUUUACUUUUCAUCAUUCAUAUUGAUUAUGGAUUUAUUAUCAAGUUUAAUUGAGUUUUAUUUAAUUGUUAUGUCGAACUAAACUCUCAUACUAGAGAUUUGAUAUAGCUUAAUUUUGAUUCCAAUUUAUAAUAUUAGAUUUGCUUUUCCUUGUUCAUGAUAUAAUUUAUUAUUGAACUUAAUGCUUCCAGGCAGAGUUUCUCUCCUGGAUUGAUUUAUUUCAUUAAUCACUAUCGGGAGAAGGGUUUUUGAUAUAAAAAAAGGUAAUAAAUUACAUGAGAAUAAUAACUUGAUGCGGAAGCUAUAUGGUUUGACUCAUGGGGGGUUUUCAUAAGUUAAUGACCUUAGAUUAUGAAUUCAUAAAACAAACCAUAAAACUUAAUGAUUUAAUUCAUGUUUGAUUGCGCUAUUAGAAGAUAGGUUAUUAGACCGGGUUAAAAUAGCUAACAAUACAUCGGGAGAGCUUGUUAGUGAUUUUAGGGUUGUUUUCCCUACUUGAACAAUUAAAAUUGAUUAACGAACUAAUAAAAUAAAUUUUAUAGAAUUAAGUGAAGUCAAAAUUCCUAGCAACUUUAAAUCCUUGAUUUCUUUUAAUUAAAAAUUGCCUUGCUUGAUUUCUUGUUAUUCUAUUUUAUUUGUUUAAUUUAAUUUCUUGAAAUAAUUUCCCUUAUUGCCGUUUAAAUAAUAAUAGGUUAAUACAAUUUUGGUACUUUAUAUACAAUCUCUGUGGAUACGAUACUCUAUGUAGAAUAUAAGUUGAGACAGAAGAGAGUUUGAAAGAGAGAGAAUGCUUUUCUCAUUGACAUUGUAUCAAUAUAUGCAGCGGAAGCCAAAACUAAUUACCUACAAAAUCUCUAGCUGUUACAACUAAAUCUAAUUAUACACUUCAAAAUACAAACAAUACUAUGAAUUCAAAAUACAAAGUGUACAGCUGGAAGAAGAAUGAUAUAAAAUAUCUUUGCCAAUAUUCCCCCUCAAGAUGGAGGUCGAGAAGAAACUCCAAUCUUGUCUCGAAAAAUCUGAAAUUUUGAACCCGUUAGAGACUUGGUUAAAGCAUCAGCUAGUUGGUCACGACUUUAAACAUGAGAAACCCGAAGAUAACCAUUUUGGACAAGGUCUCUCACAAAUUACAAACCCAAAUUAUUUCAGCUGCUGUUGACGUAAUUGCCCUGUAUUUCGCCUCGGUAGAAAAAUGAGCUGCUGUUUGUUGCUUUUUAGAGCACCAUGAAAUUGGAUUCUUGCCCAAAAAUAGAACAUAAGCUGUUGUAGAGGACCAAUCAUCUCUAUUGCCACCCCAAUCGGCAUCAGAAAAAGCAUGUAAUAAUGACAGAGGUGAUUGAUUAUGAAAUUGAAGACCAUGAUCAAUUGUACCUUUCAAAAAACGAAGCAACCAUUUGACCAUGGACCAGUGUUCAGAUGUUGGUGACUGCAUAUAUUGAGAUAAUCUAUUUACCACAAAACCCAACUCUGGUCUUGUGAUUAACAAGUACUGCAGACUCCCUACCACCAUGCGAUACUCUGUAGGAUCUUCCAAUGUGGUGCCUGAAUAUUUAGUGAUUGUGAAGGGUGAAGGUAAAGGUGUUUUGACUAGUUUGGAAUCAAGCAUAUUGGUGCGUGUGAGAAGAUUCUUAAUGUAUCGUUUUGAGACAACAACACCCCCUGCUGAUUUAGAACUACUUCAACACCAAGAAAAUAUGAAAGGAAACCCAAAUCUUUGAGAGAAAACUUUUCAGAAAGAUUCUUAACAAACUGAUCAACAAAUGUGGGAUGAGAUCCUGUGAGGAUAAUAUCAUCAACAUAAACUAAUAAAUAUAAGAUGAUAUUGUCCUGAUGAAAAAUGAAAAGAGAGGUGUCAGCAAGUGAAUUGUGAAACCCAUAAUCAAGCAAGUAUGUUCGCAGUUCAUGAUACCAGGCUCUUGGAAACAUGACAUGGAAAAUCUUUAUCAAUGAAGCCAGCUAGUUGAGACAUAUAGACAUCCUCUGUUAAAGUGCCCUGUAAAAAAGCAUUGUUAAUGUCCAAUUGACGAAGAGUCCAUUUGUUGCUUAACGCCAGACUAAGAAUAAUCCGAACUGUAGUUGGCUUAAUCACAGGACUGAAAGUAUCAUGGUAGUCGAUGCCAGGACGUUGAUUGAAGCCUUGUGCCACCAACUGUGCUUUGAACCUGGUAAUAGAACCAUUAGAAUUUCUUUUGAUUUUGAAAAUCCACUUACAACCAAUAAUAUUUUAACUAGAAGCAGCAGGAACGAGGUCCCAUGUGCCAUUACUGACAAGAGCAUCAAAUUCUGCACUCAUGGCCUUACGCCAUUUGGGAUCAGAGAGGGCCUGUUUCACCGAAUUUGGUUCUAGAUCAAUGGUGCUUUUGGUCAACUGAGCUGUGAGAUUGAGUUUGGUUAUGAGUUUCUUAAUGUUGUUUUUGGAUCUUGUAGUCAUGGUAUGAAGGGGAGGAGGUGGUGGAUUGGAUUGGACAGUGUUAGGUAUUAAAAAAGUGUUGGUGGUGGUGGUUGUGUUGAAAGGGGUUGGAUUCGGUGAAGAAAUCAUAUGCACGUCUGCUGUGUUGUUGCCUUCCAAGCAUGGAAUGGGGAUAGCUGUAGUGACGGAAGGAAUUUUAAUAACUGGUGGAGUCCAAUUAGCGAAAGAGAUGGAUGGAGAUUCUAAUUUCUUGGAAUGAGAUAUGGAAAAGGGAUACACGGACUCAACAAACUGAACAUGUCUGGACACUAUUAUGUUGGACGUUGGAAUAUGGUAACACAGGUAAGCACUUUGAGUAAGAGAAUAUCCAAGGAAGACAUAGGGUUUGGACCGAGGUUCUAGUUUGUGAGAGGCAUAUGACCAAGUCCAAGGAUAGCAUAGACACCCGAAAAUCCUAAGUUUAGUGUAAUUGGGUUUGCAGCCAAAGAGUUUUUCAAAAGGUGACACAAGGCUCAAGGUUUUUGUGGGCAUCCUGUUUAUUAAAUAAACUGCAGUACUAAAAGCAUAUGACCAGAAUUGUAGGGGAAUGGAGGCUUGAUGUAAGAGGGUUAAACCAGUUUCCAUAAUGUGUCUAUGCCUUCUUUCGGAGAAACCAUUAUGUUGAAGUGUAUGUGGUGGUGUAGUUAGGUGAGAAAUCCCAUUGUUGGCCCAAAAAGAUUUUAAGGCAGUGAACUCUCCUCCAUUAUCAGAGCACAAUGUUUUAAUUUUGUGCUCAAAGUGCUUUUUCAAUAAUUGACUUCAAUCGAAUAAAAACAUCUUUAACUUCAGAUUUGGCUUUUAGUGGGUAAAGCCAAAUAUAUUUUGUGUGAUGGUCUAUAAACACAACAUAGUACUUGAAAUUAUCAAUUGAUAAAACAGGUGAUGUCCAAACAUCGGAAAAAAUAAUUUCAAGCGGUUUAGUUGUAGACAGAGACGAUUGAAAAAAAGGAAGUUGAUGAGCUUUAUUGCAAGAACAAGCAUUACAAGAAAAUUAUUUGAAACAUUGGACUCUAAAUUAUUGGUUUGAACAAUAUGUUGAAGAAUCGAAAAGACAGGGUGACCUAGACGUUGAUGCCAAGAAGAGGAUGAGGCUUUGACAGUUGAAAAAGCUAACAUAGGUUUAGUGGUCAGUUGAUUUGAAAGAGACCAUUCAUAAACUCCAUCCUUCAUAGCUCCCUGGUGUAAAAUUGUUUUGGUGCAUAGAUCCUUCACCUGAAAAUGUUUAGGGAAAUUGAGAAAUGGAGAUUAAGUUGUGCAUAGAUCCUUCACCUGAAAAUGCAUAGAAACCUCAUUAGUUGAGCAAAAUUGAGAAAUGGCGAUUAAGUUUUUCUUUAUGGAAGGGACACAAAGAAUAUUAUCUAAUUUGAAAGUUGAGUUUGAGGUGGGUAAAGAAACAGAACCAGUGUGGCUUAUAGGUAAACCUGUGCCAUCUCCAAUUGUGACCUCAUCUGAUCCUCGAUAAGGUGAGUGUAAAGUAAGAUUGCUCAGGUCAACAGUAGUAUGGUGACUCGCUGCACUGUCUAAUAGCCAACUUUGAUUAUUAUUGGUUGUAACUACUGCAUUUGCUUGAGGCUUCCACGAAUUUCUUUGUUUAUUUUGUGAUGCAGGAAGAGAGUUAACUUGGUUUGGAAUCAAUUGGAAAGAGAGACAACGUUUUGUAGUGUGACCUUGAACGCCACACAAUUGACAGUAGCCAAGAUAGGGUCUAGGGGUUCUAUUCUUUCGAUUGGAGUAGGAUCGGUUGUUUGGAUAGUUAUUGGUGUUGUUGGUGGAUCGGUAAUUAGGUUGAUUGCGGUUGUUGGUGAUUGGUUUGGUGGCUACGUUUGCUAUUGCGGGGAAGUGAGAUGAUUCAGUAUUUGCAUUGGUAAUUUCAAAGGUGAGAAGUUUUUCCUGAAGUUCUUCAAAAGUGAUGGAUGAUUCUCGAGCUUGAAUGGCUCGAGCAAAUUCUUUGUAAGCAUCACUUAAACCUGCAAAAACAAUGUCAGUAACAUCUUCAAUAUCCAUUGGAGAACCCAAUGUGGCAAGCUCAUCUACUCGAGCUUUAAUGGUAUGUAAGAAAUCUGUUAUUGUCAUGGAGCCUUUGGUCAAGGAAUUUAUUUGUGUCUUGAUGUGUUUGAUCCGUCCUCUGGAUGGUUUGGCAUAGGUGGUGGCUAAUAUAUCCCAAGCUUCUUUGGCAGUAGCUAAAAUGGCUAUGAAAGGUAUAAUGUUGGGAGAGAGGGAGCCAACUAUGGCAUUGAGAAUUAGCUGAUCUUGGCUAAUCCAAGAUUGGUGAGAUGGGUUGGGAGUGAUAUCGUCAUUAGUUGUUGUUGUUGAUGGAGGGCAAGGUUUGGAUCCAUUGAUAUAACCAAGAAGAUCAUAUCCAGUAAGAAGGGUUUGAAACUGAAGUUUCCAUGAAGGAUAGUUGCUGCUUAUUAAUUUGAUUGGUGUUUGUAUGACAGUGUUAAUGAUGAUUAAAUUGGUUGAGGGGUCAGUAGAAUUUUGCACGCCAUUAUUGUUGCUGCUGUUAGCCAUUGUGAGCGAAAAGGACAAAAGAGAAGAAAAAAAAAAGGAUCAGUAGCUAUUGUGCUCUGAUACCAUGUAGAAUAUAAGUUGAGACAGAAGAGAGUUUGAGAGAGAGAGAAUACUUUUCUCAUUGACAGUGUAUCAAUAUAUACAGCGGAAGCUAAAACUGUUACAACUAAAUCUAAUUAUACAAUUCAAAAUACAAACAAUGGAUACUAUGAAUUCAAAAUACAAAGUGUACAGCUAGAAGAAGAAUGAUCUAAAAUAUAUUUGCCAACACUCUACUCAUUCUAUAUUACUUGUUGCGAUCUCGUACACUUGCGAAAAUCACUACCAUUAUUGAACGAGAAUUUUCACAUUUUUUUAAUCAUUAAGUAUUUGGUAAGUAUAAUUUUUUAAUGUGAGUGCUUAAUAAGUGCAAUUUUAAUUAUAAGUUAAAAUGUAUAUUCUUAUAUUAUUCAUUGUUGAUUAGAUAACAGAUGAAGAAGGUAUAGUUAAUUAUUUUAGAUAGACCAAGACCUUACCGAUGUCAAUAUUAAAAUUUAUUUUCUUUUAUGUAGGAAAUUGAAUAAUUAUCUCAAAGUCUUUUUUUAAAGGAAAAAAUUCUCAAAGUCUUCGUCUACUUAUUUUUUAUUUAUUUAUAGAUCAUAUAUAUUUAUAGGCUAAUGGCUCUCUCAUUGCCUUAGCCAUAUUGCUAUCCCACUUCUUAAAGUCAUAGGUAAUAAACCUAACCUAGUUUUUACAAAUUAGAUUUGAGACAAUUUCAGGAAACAUGCAUUCACAUUUGCUGUGGCGGGCCCACUCAAGCGUGGGACCCAUGCUCUUUUGUUUAAAAAAAAAAACAAAAAAGAGCGUGUUUUCUUCUCCUAUGAAUAGGAUAGUAUUUGCUUCUCCUAAUUUUUUCAGAUUAUUAUAUAAAUAUUGGUUACUUUAAAAUAAUCUUUCACAACUUUAAUGAGAUAUUAUGAUCUUAAUUACAAAAAAAANNNNNNNNNNNNNNNNNNNNNNNNNNNNNNNNNNNNNUUGAUGCCUUAAAAUUUAAAUUGACUCCUAAAUUUAUAAGAAAAUUACAUUAGAGCUUUAAUGCUAGUAAAACUACAUAUAAUAAAUCAAUUUUUAUAAAUAAAAUUUACUUAAAGACUAUAAUCUACUUCCGUUGAUCCAAUCAGUGAUCACCAAUAAUGAUUUAGUAUAAUUUUUUUUAUUAAUAUAUAUAUAACAUUGGCUUGAGCAAGUGUGUUAUCCAAUGAGAAACAAGAUAAUAUAUACAAUUAAUAUAUGGAAUUUUAUAUUCAUCACACUCACCAUUUCCUGUGCUCAAAAUUGGAUUUAAGUGGUCUUUUCAAUGUAUUUGUUCUAUAAAUAUAAUUCUAGUUAUAUGAUAUAUUUCUUUUUUUUUUUUUCUUCAUUUCAUGCCCCACAUAAAAAUGUUAAUUAAUAUUUCUGCAACAAAAAAAUGUCUGUUAGGUAUCUUUCCUGUCACAAUGCUUCCUUUACCUUCUUCAUGGAAGAAGAAGUAAUGAGAAAAUAACUUAUGUGAUGGGAACCAAAAAAAAAAAAAAAAUGUGUUGAGACAAAAUAAACCAGACCACAAAAUUGAAAAUUAGAUAAAAAUUAGUAAUUUUGCAUAAUUAAUAAUAAUGUUGAGAAUUGAAUCUCACAAAUUUUCUUUGUUCUUUAGUCCACCAUCCAUAAAAGAAUUUCCUUUUUUUCUCCUUUUCUUUUUGAAAUUUCUUGCUAGAAAUUAAUGCUGACUUAAUUGAUGAAAAAAUUAAAAAGAUAUAGAGAAUGGAAAUUAAUUGAAAGUAAAAAAAUAAUAUUUAAUUAUAAUAUGUACGGACGUAAACUAUCAAAAUUUUCAAAUCUAAUAAUUUCCACAUUAUAAGAGAAAAUACAUGAUAUUUAUUGAUUAACUGGAUCUAAAAAAAUAAAAGUAUAGAAAUAAAUCAAAUUAAGAAAGGAAGUUAACCAUUAAUAAUUUUUUGUAUAUAAAUUAAUAGUAUAUCAAUUAUAUAUAUUAUGAAAUUGACUAUUCAAAUUAUUUAUAAUUAUGCAUUCAAAAAAUUGCAAUGAAAAUUUUAUAUUAAGCUUUACUUAUAUGAAUUAAAAAUUUAAAUUUAACGAAUUCUAACUGAGUAACUAAAAUUUAAGUUCUAGAAAGAAUGUAAUUAAAGAAUAAUAAAAAGAUUAAGCGGUAGAAAUGUAAUUAAAUAAUAAUAAAGGAUUAAGAAAUGAAAAUAUUAUUGUGCCAAAAAUUUAAUUAAAGAAUAGUAAAAGGGUUAAGAAGAAAAAUAUUGUAUGAUAAAAAUAUAAUUAACAAAAAAUAUUUUUUUAAUAGUUAAAUAUUUUCACUUAAAUAUUUCUUAUUAUUGACCUAAUUAAGAGGUGUAUAAAAUAUUUGAUAAACCAAUUUCAUAGGUAAUGUCAAAACUAAUAGCUAUAAAUAAUUAUAAAUGCUUGAUAAGGAAUAGAAACUUGAAAUUUCUUAAUUAGAGAAAGUAUUGCAUAAAUUGAAGACCAAUUAUGCAAAGUACAUUAAAAUUCUUAUUAUUUUGUGAGUUGCACAUUAUAAGCAAUAAGGCUCAUAAUUAUCCUCACCUUUCACACAAAAAAAAAAAAAAAAAGGAAAAAAACAACACCAUUUAUUCCAGUAGAAAUUACUUAAAUAUAGAAAAUAAAUAUGCUUAUUUUUUCCUACCCGAGUAUUACCAUAACCACAAUCAUCUUGAGUGUUUCCUUUAUAAGUAUUAUCUUUAGCACCUCUGGCCUCCACCUUGAAUGUUUUCACCCUGGGUAUUCUCCAAUUUUCUACCUUGAGUGUUGCCCGAUCCUUUAUUUUGAGUAUUUC
RNAcentral lists this long non-coding RNA (16030 nucleotides) under Jatropha curcas. Its description in RNAcentral is "long non-coding RNA (JCUR_LNC000570)". Lineage: Eukaryota; Viridiplantae; Streptophyta; Magnoliopsida; Malpighiales; Euphorbiaceae. The record is from RNAcentral.